This is a long non-coding RNA of Seriola aureovittata, 1049 nucleotides long. RefSeq lists it as uncharacterized. The record is from RefSeq and is a predicted model, not a curated record. NCBI's taxonomy places the organism in Eukaryota, Metazoa, Chordata, Actinopteri, Carangiformes, Carangidae. The transcript has 2 exons.
UGGUCAUUAGAAAGCCAAGUGCUGGCCAGCCCGAGGUUGAAGGCUCAGACCAACUUCCAGCUCUUUGAAUCAAAUUAAGGACUCAGUGGUGCUGGCCAGACUCUGCCUUCAGCAAAGGGGCUGUCCUUGGUACAGGUGGGCUUUAACUUUAAUGUCCCAGAGGAGCAGCCUGGGCCCUUCAGCAGGGGUCUGCCUCCUCCAAACGACGAAAGCCUGGCCCCUCAUCUAGCGCUGUUGGUCCUCCUCUCGCUCCAGUGCCGCUCCUCCCCUCUUCUGUCCAGCCCCCUCCUCUGCCUGGACUACGUGUACUCAAGACCAGAGCCUACAGGAAGAGGAAGGCGGCUGAAGCUGCUGUGGCAGGGCAUGGUCCGCUGCCAGGAGGAAAAACCUGCUGGCAGCCAACAUCACACACCUGCAGCAUGUGUGGCCAACCCAAAAGGAUUGACACUGACCACACUCAUAUUGCAGUGGUGUCACACUGUGAGACUGUUAGUGGAAAGACUGCAGAGGUGUGGAGGGAAGAGAUGAAGGACAACUUUUAUUUACAUUAAUUUACAUUAUUAUUAUUAUAAUAAUAAUUAUUAUUAUUAUUAUAUUUUAUUUGAUGCAUUUGGACUGUUGUUUGUGUCAACUGAUGUCUUAUGAUGAUCUCAGUCCAGUUUUCCCUCUCUUUUGGCCUAUUUAUGGUUUAUUUCUUUCAAAUUAUGUCUACCUUAAAUUAAUCUUCACUUGUUGGUUUAUUUGACCUAAAACUUGUUACUAAAGCAAAUUGUUUUAAUUUAGAACCAGAAGUAGUUAAGUUGUAUCCUGUAUUUAAUUAUGUUCUUAACAGGAUAAGCAGAACCCUGGUGAAUGUUUGAGAGAGAUUCCUUUGUUUCUUUGGAUGUCUUAAGAAUGUAAGAUGUUUUAGUUACCCUUUCUAUAUUAUUUUUGUGGUAUUCAUGGCAAGGUAUUUACUUUUGUUUGUUGUAUAGAAGAAAACAUCCAUCCACCCAUUCUAUCAACAGUUCCUUGCUGAAUUUCCUGAACAAAAUAAAUGGUUAAAUGGC